CCUACGGGUGGCAGCAGUGGGGGAUAUUGCACAAUGGGGGGAACCCUGAUGCAGCGACGCCGCGUGGGUGAAGGAGUAUUUCGGUAUGUAAAGCCCUAUCGGCAGGGAAGAAGCAAGACGGUACCUGACUAAGAAGCCCCGGCUAACUACGUGCCAGCAGCCGCGGUAAUACGUAGGGGGCGAGCGUUAUCCGGAUUCACUGGGUGUAAAGGGAGCGUAGACGGCCAUGCAAGCCAGGGGUGAAAGCCCGGGGCCCAACCCCGGGACUGCCCUUGGAACUGCAUGGCUGGAGUGCGGGAGGGGCAGGCGGAAUGCGUGGUGUAGCGGUGAAAUGCGUAGAUAUCAGGAGGAACACCGGCGGCGAAGGCGGCCUGCUGGACCGCGACUGACGUGGAGGCUCGAAAGCGUGGGGAGCGAACAGGAUUAGAUACCCGGGUAGUC
Molecule: ribosomal RNA, 441 nt
Filed under: uncultured bacterium
Lineage: Bacteria
Description: partial 16S ribosomal RNA
Rfam family: Bacterial small subunit ribosomal RNA
Source: RNAcentral